UGGCGGUAGGCCUACCAUGCUCUUCGAACGGCAGCACAGUAAGAGCUUGCUCUUAUGGGUGGCGAGUGGCGGACGGGUGAGGAAUACAUCGGAAUCUACCUUUUCGUGGGGGAUAACGUAGGGAAACUUACGCUAAUACCGCAUACGACCUUCGGGUGAAAGCAGGGGACCUUCGGGCCUUGCGCGGAUAGAUGAGCCGAUGUCGGAUUAGCUAGUUGGCGGGGUAAAGGCCCACCAAGGCGACGAUCCGUAGCUGGUCUGAGAGGAUGAUCAGCCACACUGGAACUGAGACACGGUCCAGACUCCUACGGGAGGCAGCAGUGGGGAAUAUUGGACAAUGGGCGCAAGCCUGAUCCAGCCAUACCGCGUGGGUGAAGAAGGCCUUCGGGUUGUAAAGCCCUUUUGUUGGGAAAGAAAAGCAGUCGGCUAAUACCCGGUUGUUCUGACGGUACCCAAAGAAUAAGCACCGGCUAACUUCGUGCCAGCAGCCGCGGUAAUACGAAGGGUGCAAGCGUUACUCGGAAUUACUGGGCGUAAAGCGUGCGUAGGUGGUUGUUUAAGUCUGUUGUGAAAGCCCUGGGCUCACCUGGGAAUUGCAGUGGAUACUGGGC
This 611-nucleotide ribosomal RNA is filed under the name Lysobacteraceae bacterium WB7. RNAcentral describes it as "bacterial SSU rRNA". It matches the Rfam family "Bacterial small subunit ribosomal RNA", at positions 37 to 638 of the family's 1533-position model. Lineage: Bacteria; Pseudomonadati; Pseudomonadota; Gammaproteobacteria; Lysobacterales; Lysobacteraceae. The record is from RNAcentral.